Scylla paramamosain (green mud crab) is the source of this 197-nucleotide small nucleolar RNA. RefSeq annotates it as small nucleolar RNA U3. NCBI's taxonomy places the organism in Eukaryota, Metazoa, Arthropoda, Malacostraca, Decapoda, Portunidae. The transcript has a single exon. The record is from RefSeq and is a predicted model, not a curated record.
AUGAUCAUACUUCAUAGGAUCACUUCUAUAGUAUGAUUGCCAAGUUCCCUGACCGAAACUUGGUGUAACAUCACGCCACGAUGACGAGGCUAAGUGUCCGUCCCUGAGCGGGAAGCUGCCUAAUGGGUAUCCAAUAGGUUUGAGGACCGUCUACCACCUUUAUAGGUGUGUGGCGGGUCGGGCACAGGCUGAGUGGU